Molecule: long non-coding RNA, 320 nt
Organism: Ornithodoros turicata
Lineage: Eukaryota; Metazoa; Arthropoda; Arachnida; Ixodida; Argasidae
Exons: 3
Source: RefSeq, a predicted model, not a curated record
UAUCAGGAGUAGAGAUCACAAAACGAAAAACUUUGUGUCAGUAACAUGUCUUGAGGAGCUAAUCGGAGUUGCUGUGGGUCAUGGAAUUUGUCAGGAGGGCAACAUACAGGUGUAUUUAAUGGAUGAGUCAUCACUUCGCUCUAUGGGUGCUGGUGCUGAGAAAUACCUCAAUGGAAUUUUCAUUGUUAAAAAUGGACUAUGGAAACAAGAUCAGUCAACAUGUGUGAGUGCACCUUCACCAAUCCCACAAAUGCCUCUGCUCUCACGAAUUUAUUACCCUUGGGAGAGCCUCAGCAAGACAGUACUUGAUGCAUUGGAAG